Long non-coding RNA from Amphibalanus amphitrite, 1467 nucleotides. RefSeq lists it as uncharacterized. The record is from RefSeq and is a predicted model, not a curated record. The transcript has 2 exons. Lineage: Eukaryota; Metazoa; Arthropoda; Thecostraca; Balanomorpha; Balanidae.
UUGUUUUUUUCUUCAAUCAUUUGUGUUUACUGAUUGGCAUCUGUAAUCUUCUCUACGAAUAGUACUCUCUAGUCUUCUACCAUUUCCUACAAUGGAACUUACCAUGUAAUCCUUGAGGAUGGGUUUCCCAAACUUGUUCCUGAUGACUCUCCUAUCCUACACAAUAUUCCUAUAAGUAUACCCCAUUUACAAUCUGUUUCCUCUAAAUGCAAAACAAUCCUGCCCUCAUCCAUGUCCCAUGUGCUAGACAAAACGGACUUAUCAAUGGUUCACAUUAAUGCUCGCUCACUCCACCAAAACUUUGAUUUUAUUGUUGCUUUUGUUUCCAAGCAAAAUAUUAAAGUCGAUAUACUGUUGAUCUCUGAAACUUGGCUUAAAUCUGACAUCACUGACUGUUACAGGAUUGAUGGCUGAGCUACACGGCUGGACAGGGUCCGGUCGAAGCCCGGUGCCAUGCUGCUGGGGGCUGCUGCGGCCUGCGACGGAUGGCGGCUGUUGCUUCCGCUCCCUGAGGAGAUGCCGUCCUUGUGGCGCACAGGGCGGCUACCCACGGUUGCAGCCCGAUGGCUUCAUUCUCGGGACGCGGCCCGUUGGAUGUGCGACGACCGGCACCUUGCGACCGCUGCGGUGACCGGCAGCGGUGCCCCCUCUCCUGACUUGACAACGGACUACAUCUUCGUGCUGCCAUGGGGUGGCGCCACUGGUGGGACGAGCGCCACUGGUGGAGCAGGCGCCAUCUCUGAGGCGGUACAGCCGACCGGCUGGCUAACGGCGUCGAGCGCCUGAUGAAUGCUGCGCUGAGCGGCGAUACUGAUUCGCCGCUCUCGAACUGUCGAAGUCCCAGUGAGCUUGUUGGACAUGACUACGGGGCAGCCGACUAGACUUCAUUCUCGGCCGCGGCCCGUUGGAUGUGUGAUGACCGGCACCUUGCGACCGCUGCGGUGACCGGCAGCGGUGCCCCCUCUCCUGACUUGACAACGGGCUACAUCUUCAUGCUGCCAUGGGGUGGCGCCACUGGUGGGACGAGCGCCACUGGUGGAGCGGGCGCCACCUCUGUGGCGCUACUGCCGACCUUGGACCGGCGGGAUGACGGCGUCGAACGCCCGAUGACUGUGUGCUGGACGGCGAUACUGAGUCGCCGCUCUCCGGGCACCAUCCCCAUCGACCAAGGCCCGGCUGGUGCUUGGCGCCGGGUGCCGGAUGGCCGCUGCGCUCGGCGGCGGUGCUGGGUCGCCGCUCUCUGGAAUGACCGCUGACUCGUCUUUUUGAUCUCGUCUUUGUGUUACCGUCUGGUUAGGCACUGUCAAACUCCCCAAUAUAACCUUUAACACUAACUGUCCGUAUUCUAACAAAACUAACAUGUGAAUCCUUUCCGACCAAUCCCGUUUGACAGUGCCAUAAAUUAUGAAUUGUUCAAUGUGUGAUCCCAAAUUAUAAUCAAUAAACGGAACGGAACGGAAAAAAAAA